GUAGAAAAGGCGUUAAGAAAAAACAGCUUAUUAUUUAUCCCUAAGGAAUAUUAUGAAAUCAUAAAAAAGUGUCGAAAAAAUAAGUUCAUUCUAUAUGAAAUGAAACAAAAGGAUUUCAUUUCAACUAAGCCUCUAGAGAACGCAAUUUUUAGAAGAUUAAGAAAUAUUAACGGAGAAAGGGUAAAUUUGGUUAAAAAUAUUUUGGAUGCAAUUUUUGAGAACUGAAUCACAUAAAAUGUUCUAUAAGACAUCAAUGAAUGAUGAUGCAUUAUUCAAAACUCUAGAUUUAUUACUGCAUCUUCCUUGCUGGCAUUUCCAUCUUGUUGUGGUGAGGGAGCUUGCAUGUUCGGAGAAUCCUGAGAGCUAUGCCGGUGGUAGCUUUGUUACCUCUAGGAUCUUCCAUGCCACACUGGUCGAAGAUAAGGGGCCAGAUUAGCAGUAGUAGU
Molecule: long non-coding RNA, 446 nt
Filed under: Androctonus crassicauda
Lineage: Eukaryota; Metazoa; Arthropoda; Arachnida; Scorpiones; Buthidae
Source: RNAcentral